Molecule: long non-coding RNA, 473 nt
Organism: Pipistrellus kuhlii (Kuhl's pipistrelle)
Lineage: Eukaryota; Metazoa; Chordata; Mammalia; Chiroptera; Vespertilionidae
Exons: 3
Source: RefSeq, a predicted model, not a curated record
GAAGGCAACCCAAUCAAUACAUCUUUCUCAUUGAUGUUUCCCUCCUUCCUCCCUUUCGUUCUCUAAAAAUCAAUGGGAAAAAAUGUUCUUGGGUGAGAAUUUUAAAAAUCUAUAUAGUAAGGGGAACUUCUCACCCCAAAGUGACAUGUGGCUUGCAGGCCAAGCAAAGACUAUAUAGGGAGGUAUUACAGCAUUAAGGCCCCCACAGUACUGAUAUGUUGAUCAUGAUUGUAAUAACCUGAAGCAAUAUUGCCUCAACAAUUGGCUCCUUUAGAGAUCCUGUACCCUUCGGACUUUUAUGGGGGGGGGGCUUUAUUUUAAUCUAGAAAUCAAAAUUUCUGCAUUGUUGAGAGCAGGUUGUAUUUUUCUCUUAAGCACUAACCCCUUGCCCUAGAAAGUAUGUUAGGAUGACAAUAAUUUUUUAGUUCAGAGAAACUGAGAGAAUCAUCGAUCAGCUGCCUCUUGCACACCCC